CGGGGCGUAGCUCAGUCUGGUCAGAGCGCCGCAUUUGGGGUGCGGAGGAUUCGCCGGUUCAAAUCCGGCCGCCCCGA
Molecule: transfer RNA, 77 nt
Filed under: Actinomycetes bacterium
Lineage: Bacteria; Bacillati; Actinomycetota; Actinomycetes
Also listed under: 1 other name
Description: Actinobacteria bacterium tRNA-Pro
Rfam family: tRNA
About the family: Transfer RNA (tRNA) molecules are approximately 80 nucleotides in length. Their secondary structure includes four short double-helical elements and three loops (D, anti-codon, and T loops).
Source: RNAcentral